Molecule: ribosomal RNA, 460 nt
Filed under: uncultured bacterium
Lineage: Bacteria
Description: partial 16S ribosomal RNA
Rfam family: Bacterial small subunit ribosomal RNA
Source: RNAcentral
CCUACGGGAGGCAGCAGUGAGGAAUAUUGGUCAAUGGGCGGGAGCCUGAACCAGCCAAGUCGCGUGAGGGAAGACGGUCCUAUGGAUUGUAAACCUCUUUAGGCGGGGAGCAAUGCCGGGCACGUGUGCCCGGAGGGAGAGUACCCGCAGAAUAAGCAUCGGCUAACCCCGUGCCAGCAGCCGCGGUAAUACGGAGGAGGCGAGCGUUAUCCGGUUUUAGUGGGUUUAAAGGGUGCGUAGGCGGAUUUUUAAGUCCGCGGUAAAAUGUCCGGGCUCAAGCCGGGCCGGCCGUUGAAACUGGGGAUCUUGAGUGGGCGAGAAGUAUGCGGAAUGUGUGGUGUAGCGGUGAAAUGCAUAGAUAUCACGCAGAACUCCGAUUGCGAAGGCAGCAUACCGGCGCCCGACUGACGCUGGGGCACGAAAGCGUGGGGAUCGAACAGGAUUAGAUACCCGUGUAGUC